Molecule: non-coding RNA, 26 nt
Filed under: Rattus norvegicus (Norway rat)
Lineage: Eukaryota; Metazoa; Chordata; Mammalia; Rodentia; Muridae
Source: RNAcentral
UAGCUUUUUGGUGGGUCUCUGUGUCC